AAAUUGGAGAGUUUGAUCAUGGCUCAGAUUGAACGCUGGCGGCAGGCCUAACACAUGCAAGUCGAACGGUAACAGGAAGAAGCUUGCUUCUUUGCUGACGAGUGGCGGACGGGUGAGUAAUGUCUGGGAAACUGCCUGAUGGAGGGGGAUAACUACUGGAAACGGUAGCUAAUACCGCAUAACGUCGCAAGACCAAAGAGGGGGACCUUCGGGCCUCUUGCCAUCGGAUGUGCCCAGAUGGGAUUAGCUAGUAGGUGGGGUAACGGCUCACCUAGGCGACGAUCCCUAGCUGGUCUGAGAGGAUGACCAGCCACACUGGAACUGAGACACGGUCCAGACUCCUACGGGAGGCAGCAGUGGGGAAUAUUGCACAAUGGGCGCAAGCCUGAUGCAGCCAUG
This 399-nucleotide ribosomal RNA is filed under the name Escherichia coli. RNAcentral's name for it is "bacterial SSU rRNA". It matches the Rfam family "Bacterial small subunit ribosomal RNA", at positions 1 to 396 of the family's 1533-position model. Lineage: Bacteria; Pseudomonadati; Pseudomonadota; Gammaproteobacteria; Enterobacterales; Enterobacteriaceae. The record is from RNAcentral.